UAGCUCAGUUGGUAAAGCAUCUGCCUGCAAUGCAGGAGACCCGGGUUCAAACCAUGG
RNAcentral lists this transfer RNA (57 nucleotides) under Bos taurus (domestic cattle). It matches the Rfam family "tRNA", at positions 8 to 63 of the family's 71-position model. Rfam says of the family: Transfer RNA (tRNA) molecules are approximately 80 nucleotides in length. Their secondary structure includes four short double-helical elements and three loops (D, anti-codon, and T loops). The record is from Rfam by way of RNAcentral. RNAcentral also lists the same sequence under 5 other names. Lineage: Eukaryota; Metazoa; Chordata; Mammalia; Artiodactyla; Bovidae.